This 460-nucleotide ribosomal RNA is filed under the name uncultured bacterium. Its description in RNAcentral is "partial 16S ribosomal RNA". It matches the Rfam family "Bacterial small subunit ribosomal RNA", at positions 338 to 795 of the family's 1533-position model. The record is from RNAcentral.
CCUACGGGAGGCAGCAGUGAGGAAUAUUGGUCAAUGGGCGGAAGCCUGAACCAGCCAAGUCGCGUGAGGGAUUAAGGCCCUGCGGGUCGUAAACCUCUUUUGCCGAGGAGCAGUGGUCCGGACGAGUCCGGGCCGGGAGAGUACCCGGAGAAAAAGCAUCGGCUAAAUCCGUGCCAGCAGCCGCGGUAAUACGGAGGAUGCGAGCGUUAUCCGGUUUUAUUGGGUUUAAAGGUUUCGUAGGCGGAUUUUUAAGUCAGCGGUAAAAUGUCCGGGCUCAACCCGGGCCGGCCGUUGAAACUGGGGAUCUUGAGUGGGCGAGAAGGAUGCGGAAUGCGUGGUGUAGCGGUGAAAUGCAUAGAUAUCACGCAGAACUCCGAUUGCGAAGGCAGCAUACCGGCGCCCGACUGACGCUGAGGCACGAAAGCGUGGGGAUCGAACAGGAUUAGAUGCCCUUGUAGUC